Molecule: transfer-messenger RNA, 376 nt
Filed under: Clostridiales bacterium
Lineage: Bacteria; Bacillati; Bacillota; Clostridia; Eubacteriales
Rfam family: transfer-messenger RNA
About the family: Bacterial tmRNA, also known as 10Sa RNA or SsrA, is named for its dual tRNA and mRNA-like properties.
Source: RNAcentral
GGGGGUGUACCGGCUUCGACGGCGCGUCGAACGGGCGGAAAAGCAUGUGGCGGGGUCGGCCGCCUAACAACGCGAACAAAACAAACGCUAACACCCAAAAAAAUGUAAAGGCGGCUCCGGCCUCCUUUGCGUUCGCUGCGUAAGUUAUUCGCAGUCGUCGCCCCCGACUUCCGCCGGCGGGUAAAGCGGCGUCAACAAGGCGGACACCGUUACGGCGCCCUUUGAGUUUGCGCGGCGCCCUAACGAACCUUGCAAGCUCCGACGGAUCGGGCCGCGCGGCCGCCCUCCUCCGUUACGUAAAAAUGCCGCGCUAAACAUGUAGAAACCCGCCCGCAACCCGUGCCGGAAGGGGGUUCGACUCCCCCCACCUCCACCA